GACGAACGCUGGCGGCGUGCUUAACACAUGCAAGUCGAACGGAAAGGCCCUGCUUUUGUGGGGUGCUCGAGUGGCGAACGGGUGAGUAACACGUGAGUAACCUGCCCUUGACUUUGGGAUAGCUUCAGGAAACUGGGGCUAAUACCGGAUAGGAGCUCCUGCUGCAUGGUGGGGGUUGGAAAGUUUCGGCGGUUGGGGAUGGACUCGCGGCUUAUCAGCUUGUUGGUGGGGUAGUGGCUUACCAAGGCUUUGACGGGUAGCCGGCCUGAGAGGGUGACCGGCCACAUUGGGACUGAGAUACGGCACAGACUCCUACGGGAGGCAGCAGUGGGGAAUAUUGCACAAUGGGCGGAAGCCUGAUGCAGCAACGCCGCGUGCGGGAUGACGGCCUUCGGGUUGUAAACCGCUUUCGCCUGUGACGAAGCGUGAGUGACGGUAAUGGGUAAAGAAGCACCGGCUAACUACGUG
RNAcentral lists this ribosomal RNA (468 nucleotides) under uncultured bacterium. Its description in RNAcentral is "partial 16S ribosomal RNA". It matches the Rfam family "Bacterial small subunit ribosomal RNA", at positions 28 to 507 of the family's 1533-position model. The record is from RNAcentral.